CCUACGGGCGGCUGCAGUGAGGAAUAUUGGUCAAUGGGCGCAAGCCUGAACCAGCCAAGUCGCGUGAGGGAUGACGGUCCUAUGGAUUGUAAACCUCUUUUGUCGGGGAGCAAGGCCCGCCACGUGUGGCGGGCCGGAGAGUACCCGAAGACAAAGCAUCGGCUAACUCCGGGCCAGCAGCCGCGGUAAUACGGCGGAUGCGAGCGUUAUCCGGUUUUAUUGGGUUUAAAGGGUGCUCAGGCUGCGUGUUAAGUCAGCGGUAAAAUUUCGGGGCUCAACCCCGACAAGCCGUUGAAACUGGCGUGCUAGAGUGGGCGAGAAGUAUGCGGAAUGCGUGGUGUAGCGGUGAAAUGCAUAGAUAUCACGCAGAACUCCGAUUGCGAAGGCAGCAUACCGGCGCCCAACUGACGCUCAGGCACGAAAGCGUGGGUAUCGAACAGGAUUAGAUACCCCUGUAGUC
This 460-nucleotide ribosomal RNA is filed under the name uncultured bacterium. Its description in RNAcentral is "partial 16S ribosomal RNA". It matches the Rfam family "Bacterial small subunit ribosomal RNA", at positions 338 to 795 of the family's 1533-position model. The record is from RNAcentral.